Molecule: transfer RNA, 72 nt
Filed under: Ornithorhynchus anatinus (platypus)
Lineage: Eukaryota; Metazoa; Chordata; Mammalia; Monotremata; Ornithorhynchidae
Rfam family: tRNA
About the family: Transfer RNA (tRNA) molecules are approximately 80 nucleotides in length. Their secondary structure includes four short double-helical elements and three loops (D, anti-codon, and T loops).
Source: Rfam by way of RNAcentral
AGCAGCGUGGCUCAGUGGAAAGAGCACAGGCUUUGGAAUCAGAGGUCAUGGGUUCGAAUCCCAGCUCUGCCA